AAGCGCUCGUGACCAGACUUGGGCUUGGCGAAUCAUCCAGGGUUCUCCCUGGUGCACUUUGCCUUGCUCAGGCCAGCAUCAGUUCGCCGCGGGGGAUAAAGGCGUCGGGAACGUGGCUCCCUCGGGAGUGUUAUAGCCCGUCGUGUAAUACCCUGGGGCGGACUGAGGUUCGCGCAUCUGCAAGGAUGCUGGCGUAAUGGUCAUCGGCGA
This 210-nucleotide ribosomal RNA is filed under the name Sphaerostilbella lutea. Its description in RNAcentral is "partial large subunit ribosomal RNA". Lineage: Eukaryota; Fungi; Ascomycota; Sordariomycetes; Hypocreales; Hypocreaceae. The record is from RNAcentral.